AGUUCGAGGAUAGAAAGUGGCAGCUAUCACACCCAAUGACUUAGAAAAAAUAUGUAGGUUGGUUCAAUUCCGGCUGAGGCGGCAGAAAUGCACGUGUCACAUCUGGUAGUUUGAUGCUGUUGGGUCUUUAAAGAGAUGUAGGGUACGCCGUCCUACCGAACU
Molecule: non-coding RNA, 162 nt
Filed under: chicken gut metagenome
Description: skipping-rope RNA
Rfam family: skipping-rope RNA
About the family: Firmicutes, Fusobacteria, AlphaProteobacteria, Spirochaetes. Downstream gene
Source: RNAcentral